GACGAACGCUGGCGGCGUGCUUAACACAUGCAAGUCGAACGGAAAGGCCCUGCUUGCAGUGUACUCGAGUGGCGAACGGGUGAGUAACACGUGGGUGAUCUGCCCUGCACUUCGGGAUAAGCCUGGGCAACUGGGUCUAAUACCGGAUAGGAGCCAUUUUUAGUGUGAUGGUUGGAAAGUUUUUUCGGUGUAGGCUGAGCUCGCGGCCUAUCAGCUUGUUGGUGGGGUAAUGGCCUACCAAGGCGGCGACGGGUAGCCGGCCUGAGAGGGUGGACGGCCACAUUGGGACUGAGAGAAGGCCCAGACACCUAAGGGAGGCAGAAGGGGGGAAUAUUGAACAAGGGGCGCAGGGCGGAUGCAGCGACGCCGCGUGGGGGAUGACGGCCUUCGGGUUGAAAACUACAUGCGCAAGGGACGAAGCUUUUUGUGACGGUACCUAGAGAAGAAGCACCGGCUAACUACGUG
Molecule: ribosomal RNA, 465 nt
Filed under: uncultured bacterium
Lineage: Bacteria
Description: partial 16S ribosomal RNA
Rfam family: Bacterial small subunit ribosomal RNA
Source: RNAcentral